GUGCCAGCAGCCGCGGUAAUACGUAGGGUGCGAGCGUUGCCCGGAUUUAUUGGGCGUAAAGGGCGCGUAGGCGGCCUGGCGCGUCGGCUGUGAAAUCUCCCGGCUCAACUGGGAGGGGACGGCCGAUACGGCUGGGCUUGAGCGAGGUAGGGGAGAGUGGAAUUCCCGGUGUAGUGGUGGAAUGCGUAGAUAUCGGGAGGAACACCAGUGGCGAAGGCGGCUCUCUGGACCUCUGCUGACGCUGAGGCGCGAAAGCGUGGGGAGCGAUCCGGAUUAGAUACCCGGGUAGUCC
This 292-nucleotide ribosomal RNA is filed under the name uncultured bacterium. RNAcentral's name for it is "partial 16S ribosomal RNA". It matches the Rfam family "Bacterial small subunit ribosomal RNA", at positions 505 to 796 of the family's 1533-position model. The record is from RNAcentral.